GGUGGGGUACCGAAGCGGUCAAACGGGGCAGACUGUAAAUCUGUUGGCUUAGCCUUCGGAGGUUCGAAUCCUCCCCCCACCA
RNAcentral lists this transfer RNA (82 nucleotides) under Gemmatimonadaceae bacterium. Its description in RNAcentral is "tRNA-Tyr". It matches the Rfam family "tRNA". From Rfam's summary of the family: Transfer RNA (tRNA) molecules are approximately 80 nucleotides in length. The record is from RNAcentral. RNAcentral also lists the same sequence under 2 other names. Lineage: Bacteria; Pseudomonadati; Gemmatimonadota; Gemmatimonadia; Gemmatimonadales; Gemmatimonadaceae.